AACGGUGUGUGAAGAACGCUGAGGGGUUAAAGCACUUUCAAUAGGAAGGAAUACCUAUCGGCUAAUACCCAGUAGACUGACAUUACCUAUACAAGAAGCACCGGCUAACUCCGUGCCAGCAGCCGCGGUAAUACUGGAGGGUGCAAGCGUUAAUCGGAAUUACUGGGCGUAAAGCUUGCGUAGGCGGUUAUAUAAGUCAGAUGUGAAAGCCCUGGGCUUAACCUGGGAACUGCAUUUGAUACUGGGUAACUAGAGUAUAGUAGAGGGGAGUGGAAUUUCAGGUGUAGCGGUGAAAUGCGCAGAGAUCUGAAGGAACACCAGUGGCGAAAGCGGCUCCCUGGACUAAAACUGACGCUGAGGUACGAAAGCGUGGGUAGCAAACAGGAUUAGAUACCCUGGUAGUCCACGCCGUAAACGAUGUCAACUAACUGUUGGGUUCUUUAAGAACUUAGUAGUGGAGCUAACGUAUUAAGUUGACCGACUGGGGAGUACGGCCGCAGUGGCUAAAACUCAAAUGAAUUGACGGGGGCCCGCACAAGCGGUGGAGCAUGUGGUAUAAUUCGAUGCAACGC
Molecule: ribosomal RNA, 572 nt
Filed under: uncultured bacterium
Lineage: Bacteria
Description: bacterial SSU rRNA
Rfam family: Bacterial small subunit ribosomal RNA
Source: RNAcentral